AGAGUUUGAUCCUGGCUCAGGAUGAACGCUGGCGGCGUGCUUAACACAUGCAAGUCGAACGAAGCACUUAAGACGGAUUACUUCGGUUUGAAGUCUUAUUUGACUGAGUGGCGGACGGGUGAGUAACGCGUGGGUAACCUGCCUCAUACAGGGGGAUAACAGUUAGAAAUGACUGCUAAUACCGCAUAAGCGCACGGUCUCGCAUGGGACGGUGUGAAAAACUCCGGUGGUAUGAGAUGGACCCGCGUCUGAUUAGCUAGUUGGCGAGGUAAGGGCUCACCAAGGCGACGAUCAGUAGCCGGCCUGAGAGGGUGAACGGCCACAUUGGGACUGAGACACGGCCCAAACUCCUACGGGAGGCAGCAGUGGGGAAUAUUGCACAAUGGGGGAAACCCUGAUGCAGCGACGCCGCGUGAAGGAAGAAGUAUUUCGGUAUGUAAACUUCUAUCAGCAGGGAAGAAAAUGACGGUACCUGACUAAGAAGCCCCGGCUAGCUACGUG
Molecule: ribosomal RNA, 501 nt
Filed under: uncultured Eubacteriales bacterium
Lineage: Bacteria; Bacillati; Bacillota; Clostridia; Eubacteriales
Description: bacterial SSU rRNA
Rfam family: Bacterial small subunit ribosomal RNA
Source: RNAcentral